GUGGGGGUGGCGCUCAGAUUGCAAUCGCGUUCGCAAUGCGAAGGUCGGGAGUUCGAUCCUCCUCCUCUCCACCA
Molecule: transfer RNA, 74 nt
Filed under: Paraburkholderia tropica
Lineage: Bacteria; Pseudomonadati; Pseudomonadota; Betaproteobacteria; Burkholderiales; Burkholderiaceae
Description: tRNA-Ser
Source: RNAcentral